Callithrix jacchus (white-tufted-ear marmoset) is the source of this 162-nucleotide non-coding RNA. The record is from Rfam. NCBI's taxonomy places the organism in Eukaryota, Metazoa, Chordata, Mammalia, Primates, Cebidae.
AUACUUAACCCAUCGGGGAGACACCAUGACCACAAGGUGGUUUUCUCAGGGUAGGGCUUAUCCAUUGCACUCCGGAUGUGCUGACCCCUGUGAUUUCCCCAAAUGUGGGAAACCUGACUGCAUAAUUUGUGGUAGUGGGGACUGCAUUCAUGCUCUCCCCUU